UUUGGAGUAGGUUAAUUUAAGACUAUAGGUGUCAUGAGCCUAAGGUGCUUCCGGGCCUCCGAAG
RNAcentral lists this transfer RNA (64 nucleotides) under Pinctada imbricata (Akoya pearl oyster). RNAcentral describes it as "tRNA-Met". Lineage: Eukaryota; Metazoa; Mollusca; Bivalvia; Pterioida; Pteriidae. The record is from RNAcentral.